UGCCAGGCCUCACCUUGCAAUGCUGUGUGCAAGCACGUGUUUAUAAGGUGCCAGAUUAGAGCUGUGUCCUGUAGAUGACUUAGCAGCGAAUAAAACAGAUGCAAUGAGUUCCUGGCUAGUGCGGAAGGUUUAUUAGGGAGACUUGAAGAUGCUGGCAUUGAAGAUUGGAGUGAUGUGCCCACAAGCCAAGGAAUGCCACCAGCCACCAGAGCUGGAAGAGGCAAAGAACAGAUUCUUUCCUAGAGCUUCCGGAGGGAGCACAGCACUGCCCACACCUUGA
Molecule: long non-coding RNA, 280 nt
Organism: Eptesicus fuscus (big brown bat)
Lineage: Eukaryota; Metazoa; Chordata; Mammalia; Chiroptera; Vespertilionidae
Exons: 3
Source: RefSeq, a predicted model, not a curated record